AGCCAGAAACGACCUUUCCCAAAGCUUCUCCCUCCAGGUACCCAACUGAAUCAUCCAUAGGAUGACAAAUCCGUCAGGGACAAGUUUUCCAGACACUUGGGUAACGUCCUCAUCUCCGAGGUGACUUGUCGGCUCUGGGACUGGAGCCACGCGCGGGACGAAGUCCCCGCGACUGAAACACUUUCCAAACAACGCUAUUCUGUCGGACCCCAUAAACGCGAGGUGACAAGCCCAAGCGCGUGUGAAUGGAGCUGCGCAGGUUGUGUCCUGGGAGGUUAUAGUUACACACCCGGGGGCUGUGGGUGGCGGGACCCGUGCCCUCGAGGAGUUAACGUCACACCUAACGAGGACCUUCUAGAGCAAUGGGGACAUCGCCUUGGAUGAGGCAUAAUAGUGGAAAAUAGUCUUCGUGGAGCUCUGCAAACACGUGAAACUGGAAAACUCAACUACAGCUCCGUGUGCGCGCGCGAGACCUCACGUCACCCCAUCAAUUCCCACUUCUCCGAAGUGUCCCUUCAGCUGGGACUCGGGUGGCGCGCACGACCAUGCCCGCGCGUCCCGUAACUUCCCUAAUUGUGUAGCCUCCUGGCCCCUGUAGUUGAAAACAAAAAAACAAAAACAAAACCUCUUCCUAAUUAAAGAAACUUUAAAACCUC
This is a long non-coding RNA of Manis pentadactyla (Chinese pangolin), 656 nucleotides long. RefSeq lists it as uncharacterized. The record is from RefSeq and is a predicted model, not a curated record. Lineage: Eukaryota; Metazoa; Chordata; Mammalia; Pholidota; Manidae. The transcript has 2 exons.